UCCCAGACUCCUACGGGAGGCAGCAGUGAGGAAUAUUGGUCAAUGGGCGGAAGCCUGAACCAGCCAAGUCGCGUGAGGGAAGAAGGCCCUGCGGGUCGCAGACCUCUUUGGACGGGGAGCAAGGCCGCCGACGUGUCGGCGGAAGGAGAGUACCCGUAGAACAAGCAUCGGCUAACUCCGUGCCAGCAGCCGCGGUAAUACGGAGGAUGCGAGCGUUAUCCGGAUUUAUUGGGUUUAAAGGGAGCGUAGACGGCAUAGCAAGUCUGAAGUGAAAGCCCAAGGCUCAACCAUGGGACUGCUUUGGAAACUGUUAAGCUAGAGUGCUGGAGAGGUAAGCGGAGUUCCUAGUGUAGCGGUGAAAUGCGUAGAUAUUAGGAAGAACACCAGUGGCGAAGGCGGCUUACUGGACAGUAACUGACGUUGAGGCUCGAAAGCGUGGGGAGCGAACAGGAUUAGAUACCCUAGUA
RNAcentral lists this ribosomal RNA (467 nucleotides) under uncultured bacterium. RNAcentral describes it as "bacterial SSU rRNA". It matches the Rfam family "Bacterial small subunit ribosomal RNA", at positions 329 to 792 of the family's 1533-position model. The record is from RNAcentral.